RNAcentral lists this ribosomal RNA (794 nucleotides) under bacterium 64_oclvp174. RNAcentral's name for it is "bacterial SSU rRNA". It matches the Rfam family "Bacterial small subunit ribosomal RNA", at positions 51 to 853 of the family's 1533-position model. The record is from RNAcentral. RNAcentral also lists the same sequence under 1 other name.
ACACAUGCAAGUCGAACGGUGAAGCUCAGCUUGCUNNNNGUGGAUCAGUGGCGAACGGGUGAGUAACACGUGAGCAAUCUGCCCCUGACUNUGGGAUAAGCGCUGGAAACGGCGUCUAAUACUGGAUACGAGCCGUGAAGGCAUCUUCAACGGUUGGAAAGAUUUUUCGGUCAGGGAUGAGCUCGCGGCCUAUCAGCUUGUUGGUGAGGUAAUGGCUCACCAAGGCGUCGACGGGUAGCCGGCCUGAGAGGGUGACCGGCCACACUGGGACUGAGACACGGCCCAGACUCCUACGGGAGGCAGCAGUGGGGAAUAUUGCACAAUGGGCGCAAGCCUGAUGCAGCAACGCCGCGUGAGGGAUGACGGCCUUCGGGUUGUAAACCUCUUUUAGCAGGGAAGAAGCGAAAGUGACGGUACCUGCAGAAAAAGCGCCGGCUAACUACGUGCCAGCAGCCGCGGUAAUACGUAGGGCGCAAGCGUUAUCCGGAAUUAUUGGGCGUAAAGAGCUCGUAGGCGGUUUGUCGCGUCUGCUGUGAAAUCCCGAGGCUCAACCUCGGGUCUGCAGUGGGUACGGGCAGACUAGAGUGCGGUAGGGGAGAUUGGAAUUCCUGGUGUAGCGGUGGAAUGCGCAGAUAUCAGGAGGAACACCGAUGGCGAAGGCAGAUCUCUGGGCCGUAACUGACGCUGAGGAGCGAAAGGGUGGGGAGCAAACAGGCUUAGAUACCCUGGUAGUCCACCCCGUAAACGUUGGGAACUAGUUGUGGGGUCCAUUCCACGGAUUCCGUGACGCAGCU